RNAcentral lists this transfer RNA (67 nucleotides) under Lyreidus brevifrons. Its description in RNAcentral is "tRNA-Leu". The record is from RNAcentral. Lineage: Eukaryota; Metazoa; Arthropoda; Malacostraca; Decapoda; Lyreididae.
ACUAUUUUGACAGAUAAUAUGUGUUAGAUUUAGGAUCUAAGUAAAUAGAUUAAUUCUAUAGGUAGUA